CAUUUAAACCAGCUGACAAUGAGGUGGUUUCAGUUUGUCCAGACUGGGGGUUGUCAUCGUGGAGUAACGGAGGUUAAAUAAAGCUCCCACCUGUGCUGGUUUUAUCAGUCAACAGUGGCACUGAUGUCUUGUUUCUAUUUGUAGGAGGAGAUGGGAGUGUGAGGUGAAUGUUCGAGAAAAGAUGAACACUUAGCAGAUAGGUGAGCUAAUCGCAGAGGCCUUUCAGAGCUCCCGCUGGAACAAUCCAACAAUCACACAGACUGACACCCAACCAGCUGCCUGGAGAUGUGGCCGCGCUGCCCUGUCUGGCCUUCUGUCUGACAUUCCACCUCCCUGCCCAUAUCAAAGGCUGCCCAUCACCUCACAGGACUGGUGGCGGUACAGCCUUCCGUACCGGGAGUCGCCAUGGAAACCGACGGGCGCCUUCAAGGAUGUUGGGAGAGAAGAGCGGAGCUUGAAGCACCAAGUGACGUAAUGUUACGGAUGUGAGAGAGAGCGAGUGGGACCCUGAUGCUGCCUUCAAAUGCUCCUCGUAAAUUAGACGAAGCACUCCAACUGGCUGAGCGCAGCGAUUCACAGGGUUUUGAUUACUUAAAAAUGGAGCCAGUCUGACUGCAAAAUGAUAUUAGAAAGAAACUGUCAAUGCAUAAGUAUUGUAAGCACAUCUGCCUUUGGCCGAGGAAUAUAUAUGUUGAUUCAUAAAAAUCUGUUUUGCAUAAGAGACAAGCAUGUAUAGGUGUAGCAAGCUGGAGAAUUAUACACAGUUGAAGGAGGUUUUUAUAUUUUGUGAUGCUUUAUAGCAGUGGUUUUCAAACUUUUUUCAAAAUCUUAAAGCACACCUGUAUUUAUAUCUGUGCACAGCAGCUUUUAUGACAUAUGUUAUCAUUCUUAUUAUGACAUAAGACAAUAAAAAUAAUAAAAAAGAAGACAGGUAGCUCUCACUGGUGCUUUGUUGUAAUUUGCUCUGUACAAUAAAAUGAUCAAUUGUCCCACUCAA
Molecule: long non-coding RNA, 997 nt
Organism: Epinephelus fuscoguttatus (brown-marbled grouper)
Lineage: Eukaryota; Metazoa; Chordata; Actinopteri; Perciformes; Serranidae
Exons: 3
Source: RefSeq, a predicted model, not a curated record